This 252-nucleotide ribosomal RNA is filed under the name uncultured bacterium. RNAcentral describes it as "partial 16S ribosomal RNA". It matches the Rfam family "Bacterial small subunit ribosomal RNA", at positions 524 to 776 of the family's 1533-position model. The record is from RNAcentral.
UACGGAGGAUGCGAGCGUUAUCCGGAUUUAUUGGGUUUAAAGGGUGCGUAGGCGGGAUGCCAAGUCAGCGGUAAAAAUGCGGUGCUCAACGCCGUCGAGCCGUUGAAACUGGCGUUCUUGAGUGGGCGAGAAGUUUGCGGAAUGCGUGGUGUAGCGGUGAAAUGCAUAGAUAUCACGCAGAACUCCGAUUGCGAAGGCAGCAUACCGGCGCCCUACUGACGCUGAGGCACGAAAGCGUGGGUAUCGAACAGG